UGGGGAAUAUUGCACAAUGGAGGGAACUCUGAUGCAGCGACGCCGCGUGAGUGAUGAAGGAAUUCGUUUCGUAAAACUCUGUUCUAUGGGAAGAAAAGGACUGUACCACAGGAGAAAGCUCCGGCUAAAUACGUGCCAGCAGCCGCGGUAAUACGUAUGGAGCGAGCGUUGUCCGGAAUUAUUGGGCGUAAAGGGUGCGCAGGCGGCUUUACAAGUUGGAUGUGAAAUAUUGUGGCUCAACCACAAACGUGCAUCCAAAACUGCAAAGCUUGAGUUAAGGAGAGGUAAGUGGAAUUCCUGGUGUAGCGGUGGAAUGCGUAGAUAUCAGGAGGAAUACCGGUGGCGAAGGCGACUUACUGGACUUAAACUGACGCUCAGGCACGAAAGCGUGGGGAGCAAACAGG
Molecule: ribosomal RNA, 404 nt
Filed under: Fusobacteriota bacterium
Lineage: Bacteria; Fusobacteriati; Fusobacteriota
Description: Fusobacteria bacterium partial 16S ribosomal RNA
Rfam family: Bacterial small subunit ribosomal RNA
Source: RNAcentral